CAUAGGCACUUCUAGAGGUGUCUCCUCCUGACAGCGAAGACACCAUUACCUUGAGAAGCUUGAAGAGGGUAAUUGUUCUCUUCCUCGAGCGUGAAAGGAAUUUUUACUGGUGUCUCUUUAAUGAUCUCAGCCUGAAGUGGAUGGAAAAGGCAUGAUGGCCCUGUGAGAAGAACUUCACAGAAGACAGGAAACUUUGAAAGUUCACAACACUGGGAAGAAGAAGCAUAAAGAUGGAAAUGCUUAAGCCGAUUUUACAAACCAAUUACUGUUCGGUUCUCAAAAUCUGAAACUUGUUCAAGAUUUAAUACACACUGGACAGCCUCAGAACUCCUUGAAGAAUAAUAAUUCAAACUUAAUGCACAAUGGAAGCUGACUCCCAUUUCUGUAUUCUCUAGCCUCUAUGUUUUUCAGUUAAGGCUCAGGAAGUAAAUACUUCACUGGUCUCAGGAAGUUCCUGAAACAAAUAAGACUCACAAGUCUCCUCCCCUAAAUUGUGGAAGCACUGAAGAAUUUCUGGGGGAGGAACCCCUCCCUCUAUCAGCUGAGUAGCCUGAAGGAAACUUUGUCAAGCUGCCUACAUGUUAUUCAGAGAGCUCCAGGACCAUGGCUUUUGUAAGCUGUCCCCAAUGCUGGAGUGGGCUUCUCAGUGAUGUACCUGCUUUUGAGUCAUCCAUGUUCUUGAUGCCUCAUGGUAUAAUCAUCUGACUGUAUCUCUGAAACAUCAUUAGGAUUUGGGAAGCAUGUUAACAAACACUUGAUGAAGCCACUCUGAAGAAAACACCAUUAAUCAUGUCAUCUGAUAAAAGACACGUCAGUUGCUGAUAAGAGAAGACAGCCACUGAGAGGCAUGGGACUGAAAGAGGGACUGUUGAAGUAACCAGUCUGGAUAGUUUAUGAAUGCCUUCACUUUAAAAUGGAACUCAAAAAAUGCAUGGCUUUGGGGAUGAAGUUUUGCUUUUAUUUUCACAGUAAAUGAGAGGCUAUGGAUUCCUUCAGUGUUGAUAUGGAUUUGAGGAGACCUCCUGAAUAUUGACAGGUGACAUAGAUAAACAAAGAUUAUAGCUGGUCUUCCCAGGACUUGGCCAUUAUCUCAAUUUUCUCGGGGAACCCUAAAGAUGCCUUUGCCCACAGACCACAGGAAGCAGUCUAGAGAAGACAGCACCCACAUUCCCAAGAAAUGAGUGGGUGGUUGUUGGCUAUUUGGUGGGUUAUGGA
Non-coding RNA from Peromyscus maniculatus bairdii (prairie deer mouse), 1215 nucleotides. The record is from RefSeq and is a predicted model, not a curated record. Lineage: Eukaryota; Metazoa; Chordata; Mammalia; Rodentia; Cricetidae.